Small nuclear RNA from Callithrix jacchus (white-tufted-ear marmoset), 116 nucleotides. Its record names the gene U5. It matches the Rfam family "U5 spliceosomal RNA". From Rfam's summary of the family: U5 RNA is a component of both types of known spliceosome. The precise function of this molecule is unknown, though it is known that the 5' loop is required for splice site selection and p220 binding, and that both the 3' stem-loop and the Sm site are important for Sm protein binding and cap methylation. Lineage: Eukaryota; Metazoa; Chordata; Mammalia; Primates; Cebidae. The record is from Ensembl.
GUACUCUGGUUUCUCUUCAAAUCGUAUAAAUCUUUCGCGUUUUACUCAAGAUUUCCAAGGAGAGGAACAAUUCUGAGUCUUAAUUCAAUUUUUUGAGGCCCUGUUUCUUCGGGGCU